This 462-nucleotide ribosomal RNA is filed under the name uncultured bacterium. RNAcentral describes it as "SSU rRNA". It matches the Rfam family "Bacterial small subunit ribosomal RNA", at positions 26 to 518 of the family's 1533-position model. The record is from RNAcentral.
AGGAUUAACGCUGGCGGCGUGCCUAACACAUGCAAGUCGAACGAGGUAGCAAUACCUAGUGGCAGACGGGUGAGUAGCGCGUGGUCAACCUACCGUUGAGUGGGGGAUAACUAGCCGAAAGGUUAGCUAAUACCGCAUACGUCUCCGAGGGGCAUCCCUUGGUGAUAAAAGGAGCAAUCCGCUCGAUGACGGGACCGCGUCCCAUUAGCUAGUUGGUGGGGUAACGGCCUACCAAGGCAUCGAUGGGUAGCUGGUUUGAGAGAGCGACCAGCCACACUGGGACUGAGAUACGGCCCAGACUCCUACGGGAGGCAGCAGUGAGGAAUUUUCCGCAAUGGGCGAAAGCCUGACGGAGCGACGCCGCGUGUGGGAAGAAGGCCUUCGGGUCGUAAACCACUGUCGAAGGGGAGAUAAUGACGGUACCUUGGAGGAAGCCCCGGCUAACUACGUGCCAGCAGCCGC